RNAcentral lists this ribosomal RNA (468 nucleotides) under uncultured bacterium. RNAcentral describes it as "partial 16S ribosomal RNA". It matches the Rfam family "Bacterial small subunit ribosomal RNA", at positions 28 to 507 of the family's 1533-position model. The record is from RNAcentral.
GACGAACGCUGGCGGCGUGCUUAACACAUGCAAGUCGAACGGAAAGGCCCUGCUUUUGUGGGGUGCUCGAGUGGCGAAAGGGUGAGUAACACGUGAGUAACCUGCCCUUGACUUUGGGAUAACUUCAGGAAACUGGGGCUAAUACCGGAUAGGAGCUCCUGCUGCAUGGUGGGGGUUGGAAAGAUUCGGCGGUUGGGGAUGGACUCGCGGCUUAUCAGCUUGUUGGUGGGGUAGUGGCUUACCAAGGCAUUGACGGGUAGCCGGACUGAGAGGGUGACCGGCCACAUUGGGACUGAGAUACGGCCCAGACUCCUUCGUGAGGCAGCAGUGGGGGUUUUUGCACAAUGGGCGGAAGCCUGAUGCAGCAACGCCGCGUGCUGGAUGACGGCCUUCGGGUUGUAACCCGCUUUCGCCUGUGACGAAGCGUGAGUGACGGUAAUGGGUAAAGAAGCACCGGCUAACUACGUG